This 21-nucleotide non-coding RNA is filed under the name Arabidopsis thaliana (thale cress). The record is from RNAcentral. Lineage: Eukaryota; Viridiplantae; Streptophyta; Magnoliopsida; Brassicales; Brassicaceae.
UCGUGGGUACUACUUUCCUUG